This 811-nucleotide ribosomal RNA is filed under the name Triticum aestivum (bread wheat). RNAcentral describes it as "partial small subunit ribosomal RNA". The record is from RNAcentral. Lineage: Eukaryota; Viridiplantae; Streptophyta; Magnoliopsida; Poales; Poaceae.
GUCUCACCUGCUAAACCGUGAGUAGUAUUUUUUUUCCGGACGUAUAGGUGCCGACGAGGCAUAUCAAUCCAUCAACCUCACCCAUAAUCAAAUGUGCUUGGAUCUUGUCGCACAUAGGCGAUAAAUUGAUUGGUUGGUUGGUUGAGAGAUAUGACAAUGUAUAAGCAACGACGACGACAGUCCAAGAAUGGCGGGACAGGUCACGUCAUUAGACGAGCAUAUGAUCUGCUUACGAACUGGCAUAUUCAUUCUUCAGCUUAGGACUUGGAAACAAACAAACAAAUGACGGAGCUGAUGAUAAUUAUACAUGGUGUAGUACGUACGCAAAAAAAAAAUGUACUAGUACGUACGUACUGGCUUGACUUAACAGGACACAGCGCACUAGUAGACGAAAGAACCACUGUAGCACUUAUUUAAAAAUUAAUAAAUAUACGCAGAGUCCUGCUGUUUGUCUAAAAAAUAAGAAGCUAGUGUAGUAAAUGCAGAAUGGGAGGUGGCAUGCGAAAAUGCACAAUGGAGGAAUGUCUCCACAGAGGCCGGAUAUUUCCAGGUGCAACAUACACAAAGCUUGUAUCACACGUUCGAGAAAAGUUUAAUAAAAUUGUAAUUUUCAUAUGUGGGGUAGACAAAAAGUAAAGUACGCACAUGAAAAUGGGGCAAUAUGUUUUGUUGUUGGGCCGGGUUUUUUUUUCACAGCUUGCAAAUGGUAGUAUUUUGGAACGAAAAUUUACAGGUCCGUCGCGAAUGUAUAUUUGUUUUCACAAGAUUUUUCAUUUUUGAUUUUUUUUCGAAAUUCAUGCUUUUGACCAUG